Molecule: long non-coding RNA, 271 nt
Organism: Gallus gallus (chicken)
Lineage: Eukaryota; Metazoa; Chordata; Aves; Galliformes; Phasianidae
Exons: 3
Source: RefSeq, a predicted model, not a curated record
GGGGCACAUCUUCAGUGAGUUCAGCCGCACCGCGGGAAGAAGGGCAGCCGGAGACCUUUCUGCCCAGGAAGCCCGGGAAGAAGGAGCUCUCCAAGAGCUGUGUAUGGACAUCCUGGGGUCACUGGAUGUCUCUGUGAGCGGGAUGACCAAACUCGUGUGGCCACGGCUGCUGCUGUACGUGGUGCCAGCCCAGUACACCGGCAUGCUGAUCCCGGUCUCCCGCUGCGUCCAAGCGCUGGCUGAGAGAGGGGACCUGAUGGUGCGGGAGGUA